GACGAACGCUGGCGGCGUGCUUAACACAUGCAAGUCGAACGGAAAGGCCCUGCUUUUGUGGGGUGCUCGAGUGGCGAACGGGUGAGUAACACGUGAGUAACCUGCCCUUGACUUUGGGAUAACUUCAGGAAACUGGGGCUAAUACCGGAUAGGAGCUCCUGCUGCAUGGUGGGGGUUGGAAAGUUUCGGCGGUUGGGGAUGGACUCGCGGCUUAUCAGCUUGUUGGUGGGGUAGUGGCUUACCAAGGCUUUGACGGGUAGCCGGCCUGAGAGGGUGACCGGCCACAUUGGGAUUGAGAUACGGCCCAGACGCCUACGGGAGGCAGCAGUGGGGAAUAUUGCACAAUGGGCGGAAGCCUGAUGCAGCAACGCCGCGUGCGGGAUGACGGCCUUCGGGUUGUAAACCGCUUUCGCCUGUGACGAAGCGUGAGUGACGGUAAUGGGUAAAGAAGCACCGGCUAACUACGUG
RNAcentral lists this ribosomal RNA (468 nucleotides) under uncultured bacterium. RNAcentral describes it as "partial 16S ribosomal RNA". It matches the Rfam family "Bacterial small subunit ribosomal RNA", at positions 28 to 507 of the family's 1533-position model. The record is from RNAcentral.